RNAcentral lists this microRNA precursor (74 nucleotides) under Vicugna pacos (alpaca). RNAcentral describes it as "miRNA (ENSVPAG00000017334.1)". Lineage: Eukaryota; Metazoa; Chordata; Mammalia; Artiodactyla; Camelidae. The record is from RNAcentral.
UGUGGUGUGUGUGCGUGUGUGUAUAUGUAUGUAUACAUACAUACAUACAUACAUACAUACACACAAUGGAAUAC